RNAcentral lists this unclassified non-coding RNA (722 nucleotides) under Hevea brasiliensis (rubber tree). Lineage: Eukaryota; Viridiplantae; Streptophyta; Magnoliopsida; Malpighiales; Euphorbiaceae. The record is from RNAcentral.
GCUGUGGAAACCAUAUAAAGCAUUAAGAAUUCCUCCUGAAGGCAUGAGAUUUCCAUAAGCCCAGAAGCCUCCAAUGGCAAUAGGGAACAGGCACAAGGCUAUGAAGAAAUAAGCAACUUUUGCUCCCUUCCACAUUGGCACAUGAGCUGGGUGCUUGAACGUUGACGGCAUUGUUGACUGAAUCUCAAGAACUAAAUUGUGUCCUCUAAAGGUAAAUGCUAUAAUACCCAUGGCGUUCAAGACCGAAAAGAGAGAAGCUGAAUAGGAAGGCAAAGAAAUGGGUUCAUAUGAAAUGGAAGGUGGUCGUGGUUGGCUAACAGAAAGGACCCAUGCCAUAGUGGCGUAUGUGAUGGCUGUCACUGCUCCAACGAGGGAGAGUCCAGCGAUGGAAUUCAGGUUCGGGAGCUGGGACAGAACAAUGCAGAGGGAAGUGAAAACCAGAUACCACUCCACAGUUGUUAAAGGAUUCGAUGAACAGAGAGGACCACAAACAAUUUGAAAGAACAGCUUCAUGGUUUCUCCUCCUACGAGAAUCAAUGCUGUUGCAGUUCCUGCAGAUAGGUAAACAGUAGGGAAGAGAGCAAGCCAAACACCCAGUCUUUCACCAAAUGCUGCUUGCGCAAGUUCCACAUAUCUAUUGUAUCUUUUUCCAGGUACUGCUUCAUGCAGCUGAACAAGGAUCCAUAAUGUAUAGAGUUGCCAGAAAUAAGCUAUAGUUAAGG